This 805-nucleotide ribosomal RNA is filed under the name Petrobunus sp. DNA102669. Its description in RNAcentral is "eukaryotic LSU rRNA". It matches the Rfam family "Eukaryotic large subunit ribosomal RNA", at positions 85 to 656 of the family's 3401-position model. The record is from RNAcentral. Lineage: Eukaryota; Metazoa; Arthropoda; Arachnida; Opiliones; Petrobunidae.
AACGGCGAGCGAACGGGGAUCAGCCCAUCGCCUAGUCCGCCGCCAGAAUGGCGGUCCGGAGAUUCGGCGUAUAGGAGAGACUCUUCCGAGAACAACCUCCGGUGCAAGUCCCCCUGACUGGGGCUCUUACCCCGAGAGGGUGCAAGGCCCGUAGCUGCCGGAAGGUUGUCCCGGAUGUCCUCUCCUGGGAGUCGGGUUGCUUGAGAGUGCAGCCCUAAUUAGGUGGUAAACUCCAUCUAAGGCUAAAUACGACCUGGAGACCGAUAGCGAACAAGUACCGUGAGGGAAAGUUGAAAAGGACUUUGAAGAGAGAGUUCAAGAGUACGUGAAACCGUUCGGAGGUAAACGAGUGGGCCCUCGAAGUCGGAAGGCGGGGGGACUCAGCCGAAGGCGUGGAUCCUGCGCGAGACACCCGGCUUCCCAAACAGGACCGGGCGCUCGCGAUUGUGGGUCUCGUCGCCGGCGCAUUUCUUCCCGUCCUCAGACGCUGCGACCGGUCGUGCACGCCACGAGCAGUCGGCCUUACUCGCGGGAAGCGGCAGGUAACCGGGUAGUGCUUCGGCGCUUUCCCGGUCUUUAGCCAUCCCGUUUUCGAGUUGCCGUUCGCACGACCGAAGGACACGGCCCCCAGGGGCCUCGCCGCGGCUUCCCUUCACGGGAUGGUUGCUCUCUCGGAAGAGAUGUCGUCGUCCUCCCGUUUCACCCCAGGUGUGCGGGAGGCGGCGGCGCUCGUUGGCCGGGAGGCUCUCCAUCGGCCGCAGGCGGUCGGCAGCGAGUAGGUCGGUCACCCACUCGACCCGUCUUG